AACAAAAGGAGAAAUGGCAUGGCUUCGUUUUUACCUGCAAAGGGAGGAUUUUUGGACGAACUGUUUUAGAUCUGCUCGUUUGGGUCUCAGUGUUGCGGACCAGAGCACUAUUAUAGAGGAAUCAGACAUGCCUGUGUUGCUCCACCAUGGAUGGGGUCUGAGAGGAAAUUAAGAGAGAGCAGACAUGGGAUCCGAGAGAAAUGCGAAAAAGAAACUAAAUGGAAGGGAGAAGGUUUUUGCAUUUUUUUGGAGUAAUGA
RNAcentral lists this long non-coding RNA (258 nucleotides) under Malus domestica (apple). Its description in RNAcentral is "long non-coding RNA (MDOM_LNC011454)". The record is from RNAcentral. Lineage: Eukaryota; Viridiplantae; Streptophyta; Magnoliopsida; Rosales; Rosaceae.